GAAGUUAUAGUUUAACUAAUAAAAUUUUACAUUGUCAAAGUAAAGAUGUGGGUUUAAAUCCCAUUAAUUUCG
Transfer RNA from Theileria parva strain Muguga, 72 nucleotides. It matches the Rfam family "tRNA". From Rfam's summary of the family: Transfer RNA (tRNA) molecules are approximately 80 nucleotides in length. The record is from Rfam. NCBI's taxonomy places the organism in Eukaryota, Apicomplexa, Aconoidasida, Piroplasmida, Theileriidae.